CUCUAAAAAACAAUCGCAGUUCAGAUUGCAGGCUGCAACUCGCCUGCAUGAAGUCGGAAUUGCUAGUAAUCGUAGGUCAGCAUACUACGGUGAAUACGUUCCCGGGCCUUGUACACACCGCCCGUCAAACCAUGAGAGUCGGGAACACCCGAAGUCCGUAGCCUAACCGCAAGGGGGCGCGGCCGAAGGUGGGUUCGAUAAUUGGGGUGAAGUCGUAACAAGGUAGC
This 227-nucleotide ribosomal RNA is filed under the name uncultured bacterium. Its description in RNAcentral is "partial 16S ribosomal RNA". It matches the Rfam family "Bacterial small subunit ribosomal RNA", at positions 1273 to 1500 of the family's 1533-position model. The record is from RNAcentral.